ACACCCAGAGCAGAAGUUCUACUUCAGCCAGAUCAGGCCUGCAAAGAAACUGCGUUUCACAGGCCUUUGUAAGAGAUGUUCCCGGUAGGCUGUUAGAGCACUGUGCAGAGCGAGUUGUUUCUUAGCUUCCCAACGAGCUGGAAGCAAGAUGCUUUAGGGGCCAUCUGCCCUUAAGGAAAGAAGGCAGCACUUUGUGCCUUGCAGCUCUAGGGCAAUGUAGCACACCCAGAGCAGAUGUUCUACUUCUGCCAGGUCAGGCCUGCAAAGAAACUGCGUUUCACAGGCCUUUGUAAGAGAUGUUCCCGGUAGGCUGUUAGAGCACUGUGCAGAGCGAGUUGUUUCUUAGCUUCCCAAAGAGCUGGAAGCAAGAUGCUUUGGGGCCCUUCUCACCCUUUGGAAAGAAGGCAGCACUUUGUGCCUUGCAGCUCUAGGGCAAUGUAGCACACCCACAGCAGAAGUUCUACUUAAGCCAGAUCUGGCCCGCAAAGAAACUGCGUUUCACAGGCCUUUGUAAGAGAUGUUCCCGGUAGGCUGUUAGAGCACUGUGCAGAGCGAGUUGUUUCUUAGCUUCCCAAAGAGCUGGAAGCAAGAUGCUUUAGGGGCCAUCUGCCCUUAAGGAAAGAAGGCAGCACUUUGUGCCUUGCAGCUCUAGGGCAAUGUAGCACACCCAGAGCAGAAGUUCUACUUCAG
This 690-nucleotide long non-coding RNA is filed under the name Equus asinus (donkey). RNAcentral describes it as "lncRNA (ENSEASG00005035247.1)". Lineage: Eukaryota; Metazoa; Chordata; Mammalia; Perissodactyla; Equidae. The record is from RNAcentral.